This 759-nucleotide ribosomal RNA is filed under the name uncultured Kingella sp. Its description in RNAcentral is "bacterial SSU rRNA". It matches the Rfam family "Bacterial small subunit ribosomal RNA", at positions 28 to 776 of the family's 1533-position model. Lineage: Bacteria; Pseudomonadati; Pseudomonadota; Betaproteobacteria; Neisseriales; Neisseriaceae. The record is from RNAcentral.
AUUGAACGCUGGCGGCAUGCUUUACACAUGCAAGUCGAACGGCAGCACGAAAGAGCUUGCUCUUUUGGUGGCGAGUGGCGAACGGGUGAGUAAUGCAUCGGAACGUACCGAGUAAUGGGGGAUAACUGUCCGAAAGGAUAGCUAAUAACGCAUACGCUUUGAGAAGGAAAGUGGGGGCUCUUCGGACCUCACGUUAUUCGAGCGGCCGAUGUCUGAUUAGCUAGUUGGUGGGGUAAAGGCCUACCAAGGCGACGAUCAGUAGCGGGUCUGAGAGGAUGAUCCGCCACACUGGGACUGAGACACGGCCCAGACUCCUACGGGAGGCAGCAGUGGGGAAUUUUGGACAAUGGGCGCAAGCCUGAUCCAGCCAUGCCGCGUGUCUGAAGAAGGCCUUCGGGUUGUAAAGGACUUUUGUUAGGGAAGAAAAGGAUAGUGUUAAUACCAUUAUCUGCUGACGGUACCUAAAGAAUAAGCACCGGCUAACUACGUGCCAGCAGCCGCGGUAAUACGUAGGGUGCGAGCGUUAAUCGGAAUUACUGGGCGUAAAGCGAGCGCAGACGGUUUAUUAAGCAAGAUGUGAAAUCCCCGAGCUUAACUUGGGAACUGCGUUUUGAACUGGUAAGCUAGAGUAUGUCAGAGGGGGGUAGAAUUCCACGUGUAGCAGUGAAAUGCGUAGAGAUGUGGAGGAAUACCGAUGGCGAAGGCAGCCCCCUGGGAUAAUACUGACGUUCAUGCUCGAAAGCGUGGGUAGCAAACAGG